GGGCCUAUAGCUCAAUGGUUAGAGCACGGGACUCAUAAUCCCUUGGUUCCAGGUUCGAGUCCUGGUGGGCCCACCA
This 76-nucleotide transfer RNA is filed under the name Lysobacter sp. Its description in RNAcentral is "tRNA-Met". It matches the Rfam family "tRNA". From Rfam's summary of the family: Transfer RNA (tRNA) molecules are approximately 80 nucleotides in length. The record is from RNAcentral. Lineage: Bacteria; Pseudomonadati; Pseudomonadota; Gammaproteobacteria; Lysobacterales; Lysobacteraceae. RNAcentral also lists the same sequence under 3 other names.